RNAcentral lists this long non-coding RNA (351 nucleotides) under Pan troglodytes (chimpanzee). RNAcentral describes it as "long non-coding RNA NONPTRT004100". Lineage: Eukaryota; Metazoa; Chordata; Mammalia; Primates; Hominidae. The record is from RNAcentral.
ACCUCCUUCUGGGUCUUCUGAGUCCCUCUUUUCCAAAAUCCCAACCUCUCCUUCUUUCUUCCCCAAUCUUUCCCUAAACCCACUCUAAAGAAUAGAAAGAAAUAUUGGUGAUAGAUAAAAUGAAAAAAAGUUACAGAGUAAUCUAAAGAGCAUGAUAACAUUUUUUGCCACAACCCCAAAUAUAUAGAUAUCUACAACCAAGCAAGAGCAUAAAGAUGGAAGAAAGCAUAUAGUGCCCAUGGUUUUCUGAUUGGUGACUUUUAUUUUCUUCUUUGCACAUUUUUUAAUGUCCUGAAUUCUUAAGUGUUGCUGCUUUAGUCAUAAGAAAAACAUUAAAAAUGUUAUAAAAAU